This 406-nucleotide ribosomal RNA is filed under the name uncultured bacterium. RNAcentral's name for it is "partial 16S ribosomal RNA". It matches the Rfam family "Bacterial small subunit ribosomal RNA", at positions 30 to 526 of the family's 1533-position model. The record is from RNAcentral.
AUUGAACGCUGGCGGCAGGCUUAACACAUGCAAGUCGAACGAGCGGCGGACGGGUGAGUAAUGUCUGGGCACCUGCCUGAUGGAGGGGGAUAACUACGGGAAACGGUAGCUAAUACCGCAUACCAUCAGAUGUGCCCAGAUGGGAUGAGCUAGUGGGUGGGGUAAUGGCUCACCUAGGCGACGAGCCCUAGCUGGUCUGAGAGGAGGACCAGCCACACUGGAACUGAGACACGGUCCAGACUCCUACGGGAGGCAGCAGUGGGGAAUAUUGGACAAUGGGCGCAAGCCUGAUGCAGCCAUGCCGCGUGUGUGAAGAAGGCCUUCGGGUUGUAAAGCACUUUCAGCGAGGAGGCGUUACUCGCAGAAGAAGCACCGGCUAACUCCGUGCCAGCAGCCGCGGUAAUUC